AGUGGGAUAACUGGGCCAAAUGGUGGUUCCAUUCAAAUUUUCUAAGGAAUCUUCAUAUUGCUUUCCAUAGUGGUUGCACCAACUUGGAUUCCUAUCAGUGAU
Molecule: microRNA precursor, 102 nt
Filed under: Marmota monax (woodchuck)
Lineage: Eukaryota; Metazoa; Chordata; Mammalia; Rodentia; Sciuridae
Source: RNAcentral